Molecule: ribosomal RNA, 252 nt
Filed under: uncultured bacterium
Lineage: Bacteria
Description: partial 16S ribosomal RNA
Rfam family: Bacterial small subunit ribosomal RNA
Source: RNAcentral
UACGGAGGGUGCAAGCGUUGUCCGGAUUUAUUGGGUUAAAGGGUGCGUAGGCGGCCUUAUAAGUCAGUGGUGAAAGCCCAUCGCUCAACGAUGGAACUGCCAUUGAUACUGUAAGGCUUGAGUACAGACGAGGUAGGCGGAAUUGAUGGUGUAGCGGUGAAAUGCAUAGAUACCAUCAAGAACACCGAUUGCGUAGGCAGCUUACUAGGCUGUAACUGACGCUGAGGCACGAAAGCGUGGGGAGCGAACAGG